AUAACAAACAGUUGUUAACACCAUUUUUACUAAACUAGUUUUUUUUUUCUUACUGCUGUACCUGUAGGUACCCAGUAUUUACAGAAGUAUUUAGAAUAUCAGUCAAUUCUUGUUCCUCAUAGUCUUGUCUUCUUCCUCUUGCACCUACAUCUAAGCUGAGCCCACAGUUCGUCAGUGCAGUCGCUUAUUACGACCCACAGCUACGUUUUGUUGUGACGGGAACAAAGUAGAUGACGUAAUGUAAACAACGAGGACACUGACGUUCCAGCGGGAGAACGUUCCACAACGUUGACUGCGUGUUUAUUGUUUCCACGACGACGACGAAGCUCUGAUAACUCCCUAUAGGCCGACCUAGGUUGGAGGACUUGUUGCUAAAUUAUUGUCAGGCCAAGCUGUCUAUUGUGUAAAUAUUACACAUUACACCUGUUUUAUUGUCCUCCAACUGCGCGUGUCACGACUACCAGAGGUAAAAGUUAAAUUAGCUUAAUUAGCUCAAGAUGGACAAUAAGGCUGAGACUGAUUCAACCCAGCAGAGUGGGAACAUGUUGUUUGAUGAGUUUUAAACUGAUUCUCUUUAUGUCACAGAACAUUCACAUCACUGAGAUCAGUCUCCUCACAGUGCUCCAACUGUUCACGGGUCGUUGGGGAGCUGGAGCUGAUCCCAGCUGGGGGAGUGGCGGAGUACAUCCCAAACAGGUCAUCAGUUCUGCGUCUUUCAGUCACUUUCACCUUUAUAAAUAGCUGCUGCAGCCAAAAUGGUGUCUCUGUGCAGCAUCGACCUCCUGUUCCAAGCACAGUUACUCUCACCCAUUCCUGCACAGUGGAAAUAAAAGCUCAGGUCCAGACUAACAGAUGUGAAAGGUUCAGCAGAUGAACGGAGGCUCAGACAUUUCACCUUGUAAAUCCGUCAUGACUUCAAUGAUUCCUGGAUAAUGAACCUGAACGUCGUCGAUAUCCUGGAACACAAACAGAGGGAGG
This is a long non-coding RNA of Lates calcarifer (barramundi perch), 978 nucleotides long. RefSeq lists it as uncharacterized. The record is from RefSeq and is a predicted model, not a curated record. NCBI's taxonomy places the organism in Eukaryota, Metazoa, Chordata, Actinopteri, Centropomidae. The transcript has 4 exons.